UACAGAGGUGGCUAACGUUGUUCGGAUUUACUGGGCGUAAAGGGUGCGUAGGUGGACGGGUAUGUUGGAUGUGAAAGCCCACGGCUUAACCGUGGAAUUGCAUUCAAAACUGCAAGUCUGGAGUACAGAAGGGGAGAGCGGAAUUCUUGGUGUAGCGGUGAAAUGCGUUGAUAUCAAGAAGAACACCGGUGGCGAAGGCGGCUCUCUGGUCUGUAACUGACACUGAGGCACGAGAGCUAGGGGAGCAAACAGG
Molecule: ribosomal RNA, 253 nt
Filed under: uncultured bacterium
Lineage: Bacteria
Description: partial 16S ribosomal RNA
Rfam family: Bacterial small subunit ribosomal RNA
Source: RNAcentral